Molecule: ribosomal RNA, 250 nt
Filed under: uncultured Atopobium sp.
Lineage: Bacteria; Bacillati; Actinomycetota; Coriobacteriia; Coriobacteriales; Atopobiaceae
Description: partial 16S ribosomal RNA
Rfam family: Bacterial small subunit ribosomal RNA
Source: RNAcentral
CUGAGUAACACGUGGGCAACCUGCCCUUUGCACUGGGAUAGCCUCGGGAAACCGAGGUUAAUACCGGAUACUCCAUAUUUGUCGCAUGGCGAAUAUGGGAAAGCUCCGGCGGCAAAGGAUGGGCCCGCGGCCUGUUAGCUAGUUGGUGGGGUAGUGGCCUACCAAGGCAAUGAUGGGUAGCCGGGUUGAGAGACCGACCGGCCAGAUUGGGACUGAGACACGGCCCAGACUCCUACGGGAGGCAGCAGAG